CUCUACCUAUGUCUACGCGUACCACUUGUUUCCUCGGGGGGCUUGCCCCCCGUUAGGACUCUUUCAUCAACCUUUUUGCAAUAGCAGUCAGCGUCUGAUACUACGUUAAUUAUUAAAACUUUCAACAAUGGAUCUCUUGGUUCUGGCAUCGAUGAAGAACGCAGCGAAAUGCGAUAAGUAGUGUGAAUUGCAGAAUUCAGUGAAUCAUCGAAUCUUUGAACGCACAUUGCGCCCCUUGGUAUUCCAUGGGGCAUGCCUGUUCGAGCGUCAUUUGAACCCUCAAGCUCUGCUUGGUGUUGGGUGUUUGUCCCGCCAUUGCGCGUGGACUCGCCUUAAAGCAAUUGGCAGCCAUGUAAUCCGGCUUUGAGCGCAGCACAUUGCGUACUCUCUACUGGUACAUUGGCAUCCAGAAGCGCAUUUUUUUACUCUUGACCUCGGAUCAGGUAGGGAUACCCGCUGAACUUAAGCAUAUCAAUAAGCGGAGGAAAU
Molecule: ribosomal RNA, 489 nt
Filed under: Ascochyta medicaginicola
Lineage: Eukaryota; Fungi; Ascomycota; Dothideomycetes; Pleosporales; Didymellaceae
Description: eukaryotic LSU rRNA
Rfam family: 5.8S ribosomal RNA (bases 117-270)
Source: RNAcentral